This 870-nucleotide ribosomal RNA is filed under the name uncultured marine bacterium. Its description in RNAcentral is "bacterial SSU rRNA". It matches the Rfam family "Bacterial small subunit ribosomal RNA", at positions 28 to 897 of the family's 1533-position model. The record is from RNAcentral.
GAUGAACGCUAGCGGCAGGCCUAACACAUGCAAGUCGAGGGGUAACAGGAAAGCUUGCUUUUGCUGACGACCGGCGCACGGGUGCGUAACGCGUAUGCAACCUACCUCAUACAGGAGAAUAGCCCUUGGAAACGAGGAUUAAUACUCCAUGGUAUCAUUCUUUCGCAUGUUAGAAUGAUUAAAGAAUUUCGGUAUGAGAUGGGCAUGCGUCCCAUUAGCUUGUUGGUGAGGUAACGGCUCACCAAGGCAACGAUGGGUAGGGGGCCUGAGAGGGUGGUCCCCCACACUGGUACUGAGACACGGACCAGACUCCUACGGGAGGCAGCAGUGAGGAAUAUUGGUCAAUGGAGGAAACUCUGAACCAGCCAUGCCGCGUGAAGGAUGACGGCCCUAUGGGUUGUAAACUUCUUUUAUAUGGGAAGAAACUUAUCUACGUGUAGAUAACUGACGGUACCAUACGAAUAAGGAUCGGCUAACUCCGUGCCAGCAGCCGCGGUAAUACGGAGGAUCCAAGCGUUAUCCGGAUUCAUUGGGUUUAAAGGGUCCGUAGGCGGAUUUUUAAGUCAGUGGUGAAAGCCGACAGCUCAACUGUCGAACUGCCAUUGAUACUGGAAAUCUUGAGUACAAAUGAAGUAGGCGGAAUGAGUCAUGUAGCGGUGAAAUGCAUAGAUAUGACUCAGAACACCGAUUGCGAAGGCAGCUUACUAACAUGUAACUGACGCUGAGGGACGAAAGCGUGGGGAGCGAACAGGAUUAGAUACCCUGGUAGUCCACGCCGUAAACGAUCAUCACUCGCUGUUGGCGAUAUACUGUCAGCGGCCAAGCGAAAGUAUUAAGUGAUGCACCUGGGGAGUACGCCGGCAACGGUGA